GACGAACGCUGGCGGCGUGCCUAAUACAUGCAAGUAGAACGCUGAAGGAGGAGCUUGCUCUUCUGGAUGAGUUGCGAACGGGUGAGUAACGCGUAGGUAACCUGCCUGGUAGCGGGGGAUAACUAUUGGAAACGAUAGCUAAUACCGCAUAACAGUAGAUGUUGCAUGACAUUUGCUUAAAAGGUGCAAUUGCACCACUACCAGAUGGACCUGCGUUGUAUUAGCUAGUUGGUGGGGUAACGGCUCACCAAGGCGACGAUACAUAGCCGACCUGAGAGGGUGAUCGGCCACACUGGGACUGAGACACGGCCCAGACUCCUACGGGAGGCAGCAGUAGGGAAUCUUCGGGAAUGGACGGAAGUCUGACCGAGCAACGCCGCGUGAGUGAAGAAGGUUUUCGGAUCGUAAAGCUCUGUUGUAAGAGAAGAACGAGUGUGAGAGUGGAAAGUUCACACUGUGACGGUAUCUUACCAGAAAGGGACGGCUAACUACGUG
RNAcentral lists this ribosomal RNA (495 nucleotides) under uncultured bacterium. RNAcentral describes it as "partial 16S ribosomal RNA". It matches the Rfam family "Bacterial small subunit ribosomal RNA", at positions 28 to 507 of the family's 1533-position model. The record is from RNAcentral.